This 51-nucleotide small RNA is filed under the name chicken gut metagenome. RNAcentral describes it as "Bacillus-plasmid RNA". It matches the Rfam family "Bacillus-plasmid RNA", at positions 2 to 55 of the family's 61-position model. The record is from RNAcentral.
CUGUCAAUGGUACCGGAGGGCAUGCCCGAGGAUAAGGAAUUGACAGCUUUU